CCUACGGGUGGCUGCAGUGAGGAAUCUUGGUCAAUGGGCGGAAGCCUGAACCCGCCAAGUCGCGUGAGGGAUUAAGGCCCUGCGGGUCGUAAACCUCUUUUGCCGGGGAGCAGUGGUCCGGCCGCGUCCGGACCGGGCGAGUACCCGGAGAAAAAGCAUCGGCUAACUCCGUUCCAGCAGCCGCGUUAACACGGAGGUUGCGAGCGUUAUCCGGAUUUAUUGGGUUUAAAGGGUGCGUAGGCGGGCAUUUAAGCCGGCGGUCAAAUUUCGGGGCUCAACCCCGGCCUGCCGGCGGAACUGGGUGCCUUGAGUGGGCGAGAAGUAUGCCGAAUGCGUGGUGUAGCGGUGAAAUGCAUAGAUAUCACGCAGAACCCCGAUUGCGAAGGCAGCAUACCGGCGCCCUACUGACGCUGAGGCACGAAAGUGCGGGUAUCGAACAGGAUUAGAUACCCGGGUAGUC
RNAcentral lists this ribosomal RNA (460 nucleotides) under uncultured bacterium. RNAcentral's name for it is "partial 16S ribosomal RNA". It matches the Rfam family "Bacterial small subunit ribosomal RNA", at positions 338 to 795 of the family's 1533-position model. The record is from RNAcentral.